AUUGAACGCUGGCGGCAUGCCUUACACAUGCAAGUCGAACGGCAGCACGGGUGCUUGCACCUGGUGGCGAGUGGCGAACGGGUGAGUAAUACAUCGGAACGUACCUUAUCGUGGGGGAUAACGCAGCGAAAGCUGUGCUAAUACCGCAUACGCCCUGAGGGGGAAAGCGGGGGAUCGCAAGACCUCGCGCGAUUAGAGCGGCCGAUGCCUGAUUAGCUUGUUGGUGGGGUAAAAGCCCACCAAGGCGACGAUCAGUAGCUGGUCUGAGAGGACGAUCAGCCACACUGGGACUGAGACACGGCCCAGACUCCUACGGGAGGCAGCAGGGGGGGAUUUUGGACAAUGGGGGCAGCCCUGAUCCAGCAAUGCCGCGUGAGUGAAGAAGGCCUUCGGGUUGUAAGGCUCUUUUGUCAGGGAAGAAACACCGGCUCUAACACAGUCCGGGAAUGACGGUACCUGAAGAAUAAGCACCGGCUAACUACGUGCCAGCCGCCGCCGUAA
This 501-nucleotide ribosomal RNA is filed under the name uncultured bacterium. Its description in RNAcentral is "partial 16S ribosomal RNA". It matches the Rfam family "Bacterial small subunit ribosomal RNA", at positions 29 to 523 of the family's 1533-position model. The record is from RNAcentral.